GUUCCUGGGCUGCUCGGUCGGUGAGGCGGGACCGGAGCACAGCUGCCAUCUGCCUUCGCGCUGAUUUGGAAACUCGUGGCGGUUCGGCGUCUCUCACCGCCUCCUUCGCAAAGUUGCGUGGGAGAGACCUGCGUGCCCGGGGAUGAGCGCGGUGCGAGCUGACCGCCCGCUCGUGCUGCCGGCAGACCCGCCCGGCCCCGCUGCUGCUUGCCUUGCACGACGUCUCUGCUUCGGUCGGUAGUGACAGAUGUUAAUCACGCUGCUUAAUGCAGCCGUGGAUGGCAGAGAGGUAUCACAGUAACGAGAAGUGCGCAAUAACCUUGCCCAGAAUAGAACAGUGGAACUGAACAGUGGCUCGUUUCUCUUUGCAGGCACAUCUUUUUCUAUUCGGAGCUCAUUAACCCGUGUCCCUUUGCAUUCCAGUUUGGAGAUGUAAUGUCUGCUGAACUACAUAAAAAUGAUCAGAAGUCUGCUGCGGUAUUCUUGAGGUCUGCGCCGCUCUGCUCCAGAGGCAGAAACUUGUGUGAUUCCUAUGCAGAAAAGCCAUCAGUGAUGAGGCUGUGAGGUAGAUCACACGUGAGGGUCCUUGAAAUGAGGGGGAACUCUCUGCUGCUGUAGCUGGCACCUGUCUCUUGAGUGAAGUGCACAACAGCUUGGUAAAAGACGCUAAGAGCUGGCAGGAUGAGUUCCAGCUCACCCUCUGCACGUGACUUAUACCACAGCAGCACCACAACAGCCAAACCAGACGCAGGAACAACUCUGGAUGCAACUGUACCAGAAACAGCUACUGUGAGCCCUGAGACUACGAGCUUCAACAGCACCAAAAUCCCAGAUGUGGCCAGCAGUGGGCCCAGCAUGAGCGCCAUGCUGCUGUCCUUUGGGAUCAUUACUGUGAUUGGCUUGGCUGUAGCAAUGAGAAUGAAGGUAGCAGCAAGCUCACGUUCCUCGUGUGAGGAAGGGCUUCGCUAA
RNAcentral lists this long non-coding RNA (969 nucleotides) under Chrysolophus pictus (golden pheasant). RNAcentral describes it as "lncRNA (ENSCPIG00010010344.1)". The record is from RNAcentral. Lineage: Eukaryota; Metazoa; Chordata; Aves; Galliformes; Phasianidae.